ACACAUGCAAGUCGAACGAUGAAGCCCUUCGGGGUGGAUUACUGGCGAACGGGUGAGUAACACGUGGGCAAUCUGCCCUUCACUCUGGGACAAGCCCUGGAAACGGGGUCUAAUACCGGAUACGACUGCGUAAGGCAUCUUCUGCGGUGGAAAGCUCCGGCGGUGAAGGAUGAGCCCGCGGCCUAUCAGCUUGUUGUUGGGGUAAUGGCCUACCAAGGCGACGACGGGUAGCCGGCCUGAGAGGGCGACCGGCUUCAAUGGGACUGAGACACGGCCCAGACUCCUACGGGAGGCAGCAGUGGGGAAUAUUGCACAAUGGGCGAAAGCCUGAUGCAGCGACGCCGCGUGAGGGAUGACGGCCUUCGGGUUGUAAACCUCUUUCAGCAGGGAAGAAGCGAAAGUGACGGUACCUGCAUAAGAAGCGCCGGCUAACUACGUGCCAGCAGCCGCGGUAAUACGUACGGCGCAAGCGUUGUCCGGAAUUAUUGGGCGUAAAGAGCUCGUAGGCGGCUUGUCACGUCGGAUGUGAAAGCCCGAGGCUUAACCUCGGGUCUGCAUUCGAUACGGGCUAGCUAGAGUGUGGUAGGGGAGAUCGGAAUUCCUGGUGUAGCGGUGAAAUGCGCAGAUAUCAGGAGGAACACCGGUGGCGAAGGCGGAUCUCUGGGCCAUUACUGACGCUGACGAGCGAAAGCGUGGGGAGCGAACAGGAUUAGAUACCCUGGUAGUCCACGCCGUAAACGUUGGGAACUAGGUGUUGGCGACAUUCCACGUCGUCGGUGCCGCAGCUAACGCAUUAAGUUCCCCGCCUGGGGAGUACGGCCGCAAGGCUAAAACUCAAAGGAAUUGACGGGGGCCCGCACAAGCGGCGGAGCAUGUGGCUUAAUUUGACGCAACGCGAAGAACCUUACCAAGGCUUGACAUAUACCGGAAAGCAUUAGAGAUAGUGCCCCCCUUGUGGUCGGUAUACAGGUGGUGCAUGGCUGUCGUCAGCUUGUGUCGUGAGAUGUUGGGUUAAGUCCCGCAACGAGCGCAACCCUUGUCCUGUGUUGCCAGCAUGCCCUUCGGGGUGAUGGGGACUCACAGGAGACCGCCGGGGUCAACUCGGAGGAAGGUGGGGACGACGUCAAGUCAUCAUGCCCCUUAUGUCUUGGGCUGCACACGUGCUACAAUGGCCGGUACAAUGAGCUGCGAUACCGUGAGGUGGAGCGAAUCUCAAAAAACCGGUCUCAGUUCGGAUUGGGCUCUGCAACUCGACCCCAUGAAGUCGGAGUCGCUAGUAAUCGCAGAUCAGCAAUGGUGCGGUGAAUACGUUCCCGGGCCUUGUACACCCCCCCCGUCCCCUCACGAAAGUCGGUAACACCCGAAGCCGGUGGCCCAACCCCUAGGAGGGAGCUUC
Molecule: ribosomal RNA, 1396 nt
Filed under: Streptomyces sp. XF9
Lineage: Bacteria; Bacillati; Actinomycetota; Actinomycetes; Kitasatosporales; Streptomycetaceae
Description: 16S ribosomal RNA
Rfam family: Bacterial small subunit ribosomal RNA
Source: RNAcentral